CUUUAUUUUACAUUUUAAUAUUUUAUGAUGUAUUUAAAUGAGUAGUUAUUGUUGCAAACUCCAUUAGAAAUUUGAAUUGAUAUCAGUUUUGGAAAAAGGGAAAGGGGGAUGUGAAAAAAAAGGGGGGGGGGGUUUAAAUUUUUCUCAUUUCAGAUUUCAUAAAUAAAAAGAAAAUUUCUUCAAACAUUUUUUUGAGAGGAUUAAUAUUCAACAGCAUAGUGAAUUGCUCAAAGGCAAAAAAAAUUUUAAGUUCAUUAGACCACAUUCAUUCUGUGUCAGAAACCUAUGCUGUGUCAACUAUUUAAUUUUAGAUUUAAAAAGUUUGAAGAAAUCUUUAAUUGAUUUGUAAAAUCUUGACAUUUGUUUUGUGUAAAAAAAAAACCAUGUAAUGUCAAAAAUUUGAUCACAAUCCAAAUUCAGAGCUGUAUCACGCUUGAAUGUUUUGUCCAUACUUGCCCCAACU
This 463-nucleotide long non-coding RNA is filed under the name Mytilus galloprovincialis (Mediterranean mussel). The record is from RNAcentral. Lineage: Eukaryota; Metazoa; Mollusca; Bivalvia; Mytilida; Mytilidae.